CCGACCCGUUACCGCGGGCGCCGGGGGCCGGGGCGGUGCUGUGGUUUCGGUGCCGGCUGCGGGCAGGCGGCCUAAUGAACUCUCGGCACGCACCCCCGCGCCAGCGGCCCGCCCGGCGCCCCCGCCCCUGGCUCCUGCCCCGCGGGGACCCUGGCGGCCCCGCCCCAACGUCACCCCCGGAACCUCUGGGUUCCAUCCCGGGACCCGGGUGCGGGAUCCCCGCCGGGAUCUGCGCCGGGGGCGGCGGGGAUCGCCUAGGCGGCCCUGGGGUGACCGUGGCCCCCUUCGGGGUUGGCGCGGGGCCUUGCGCGCCCUCUGGCGGCCGUGGGGCCCCGCGCGUCUCCAGGCCGCAGGUCUGAUCCUCCCUCGCUCCUCUCCGCAGGGACCUGCGUGCCUGACCAUGGGGCCCCUGAGCCGGGAAACCUGGGCCCAGCGCCUGAGCACCUUCCGGGCCAGCCCGUCCGCCUUCAUGGCAGGUCCCGAGGGUGAGGAUCUCGGUCGUGACCUGCUGAGCGACCUGAGGAAUGAGAAGCUGAGCGAGCAGACUAAGGUUUCCUUGCUGGCUCUGAGCUUGGAGUACCCAGCCCAGCUGUGGCCGGACGCCCCUGCGGCCGAAGCAGCCGCGACCUCCCUGUUGGAUACCCUGGUCCUUCUGCCCCCGCGGCCCUCGGCUCUGCGGCGGCCCCUGCUGCUGGCGGCCACCACAGCCUUGGCGGCAGGAGGUGCGCUGGGCCCCACCUCGGGAGCCUCGCGCCGUCUCCUGCCCUUGCUGCUGGGCUUGGCUUCCGGCCGCGAUCUGGGGCGCAGCUUUGGCCCAGCCUCGGAACAGCGCCCCCUGCAGGCCACAGCGUGGGAGUGCCUGCGCGAGCUGGAGAGCUGCAAGCCUGGGCUGCUGGGGGGCUGCCUGGGGCUGCUGCGGGGCCUGCUGGGGCACGAGGGCCCUGUCCAGCCACUCAGCCUGCUUCUGGCACUUGCCCUGAGAAACGCCUUGGUGAUACAAGCCAGGGCCAGAGCCAGGGCCGGCCUGCAGGGCCUGCUCAUGGCUGGGGACUCUCCCACUGAGGGUGGUCCCUGGAACUGGACCCUAGCUGAGGAGGGUGAGGCCCACCUUCAGCCCCAGGUCCCCAGUUGGCCAGCAGCUGAGGAGGGGGAGUGUGGCCUUGCAGUGCUGGAGCUCAGUCCUGAGGAGGCCCGGGAGCUGCGGGCUGCCGUGGCUCAGCUCCUGGACACCUCCUACCUGCUCACUCCUGCGGCCCAGGCCCAGCUUCUGUGGCUGCUGGGCUGGGCUCUGCGGGGUCUCCAGGGACAGCCACCAGUGCUCUUCAAGCCACAGCUGGUACGGCUGCUGGGCACAGCACAGCUGACGCUGGUGCAUGCCAUUCUGGCUCUGAAGGCAGCCUUCGGUGAGGCGCUGUUCACGGCCCAGGAUGAGGCCUUGCUGCUUCGCCGGCUCACCUUGGCUGCCCAGCACCCAGCCCUGCCCCUGCCCGCCCAUCUCUUCUACCUGCACUGCCUCUUGAACUUCCCUGAGAACUGGCCGCUGGGCCCCGCAGGCGAGGAGGCUGCCCCGCUGCUGCUUGGGUCUCAGCGAUGCCGUGGUCUUCUGCCCAGUCUCCUGCAUGAGCCAAUGGCCCUCCUGGCCCGCCUGCAUCUGCUGUGUCUGCUCUGUGUGGAAGACGAAGAGAAGGAGGAGAAGGGCCAGGAUCAGAGCCCCCAGCACUACCUGGAAGAGCUACUGGCUGGCCUGCGGCAGAGGGCAGCCCUGGAUGGUGGCCCCCAGGCCUUGGCCACUCUCUGCUUCCAGGCUUCAUACCUGGUUGCUCACUGCCUGGCCGGGCAACCUAUGGUGCUGAUCCCCUUGACCCACGGACUGGCCCAGCUGUACCGAGCCCGGCCUGCACUUGCUCCCCAUUUCAUAGAUCUCUUGGAUCAGGUGGGCCCUGAGCUGGGGGAACCCUUGAAGGUGGUCUUGCGGCAGGAGGUGGUGUCCAGGCCAGGCAGGGAUGAGGCCCUUCGUUGGCAUCUGCAGAUGCUGGCAAGGGUGGUGGACAGGGAUGCCCAGAGUGCCACUCUCAGCUUCCUGCAGGCUGCGGCUGCCCACUGCACAGACUGGGGCCUCCAGCAGGCACUGCUGCAGGUCUGCCGGGCCCUGCUGCGGGCAGGUGUUGGGGGAGGCCUGGCAGACUUGCUGCAGGUGCUGGCCAGGCAGCUGGAGGACCCUGAUGGGCGGGACCACGCGUGCCUCUAUUACAUCCUCCUGGCCCACUUGGCGGGGCCCAAGCUGGGUGUGGCCCUGGGCCCCUCCCUUGCUGCACCUGCACUGGCCUCCUCACUGGUGGCCGAGAAUCAGGGCUUCGCUGCAGCACUGAUGGUGCAGGAGGCCCCAGCCCCGAUUCGCCUGAGUGUGGGUCCCCGCAGAGCUGAGGGCCCGGAGCCAGUGCUGCAGCUCCAGGUGGAGGUGCUGGAGCCAGUGUAUUCUCUGGAACUGCGCUUCCGUGUGGAAGGACAGCUCUACGCACCCUUGGGGGCUGUCCAUGUGCCCUGCCUGUGCCCCGGCCGCCCCACCCACCCUCUGCUCCUGCCUCUGCGGCCCCGACGCCCGGCUCCCGCAAGGCUGGCUGUGCGCGCCCUGUACACCACACCCAGCGGCCUCACGUGCCAUGCUCACCUGCCACCCCUGCUUGUGAACUUCGCUGACCUCUUUCUGCCCUUCCCCCAGCCCCCCGAGGGGGCCAAGCUGGGCUUCUUUGAGAAGCUCUGGGACUCCUGCCUGCCAAAGGGCACUGAGAGUCGCUUGUGGUGCCCCCUCGGGCCACAUGGGCUGGAGGCCUUGGUGUCCUGCCACCUGGAGCCUUUUGUGGUGGUGGCGCAACCCCCCACCAGCUACCUUAUAGCCAUCCGUCUGCCCCCAGACUCGCGGUUGCUGCUGAGGCUGGAGGCAGCCCAGGCGGACGGAGUGCCUGUGGUCCUGCGGACUGAUGACUGGGCCGUGCUGCCCCUGGCGGGGGACUACCUGCGGGGGCUGUCAGCGGCUGGCUGAGCCCCGGGCCUGGGCCAGUCCCUAGGAAACCCAAUCUGUGGACCUAAGACUCAUCCCAGGUGGUGCAGUCGUUAAGAAUCCACCUGCCAAUGCAAGGGACACAGGUUCGAUCCCUGCUCCAGGAAGAUCCCACAUGCCGCAGAGCAACUAAGCCCGUGCACCACAACUGUUGAGCCUGCGCUCUAGAGCCCGUGAGCCACAACUAUUGAGCCCAUGUGCUGCAACUACUGAAGCCCAUGCACCUAGAGCCUGUGCUCUGCAACAAGAGAAGCCACGGCAAUGAGGAGCCUGUGCACCACAAUGAAGAAUAGCCCCCACUCACCACAACUAAAAGAAAGCCCACGCACAGCAAAAAAGACCCAACACAGCCAAUCAAAUUAAUUAAUUAAUUAAUUUAAAAAAAUUCAGUGGCUUUCCUGAAACCUACACAGGCCAAAUCCAGCCCACUGUGUUUUUGCAAAUAAAGUUUUAUUGGAACAUAGCCAUGCUUAUUCAUUUACAUAUUGCCUAUGGCUGUUUUUAUGCUACAAUGACAAAGGUGAGUAUUUGUGUUAGGGACCAAAUGUGAGGUUUGUCAAACUCUGCUAUAGAUAAAUAAUAAUCAGAAAGUAAAAUCGAAAAAAAAAAAAGAUCUUGAUUAUAACAGAAACAAUAUAAGCUAUCUAGGAAUAAACUUUAAAAUAUGUGUAAAAGAAGAAAACCCCAUAACUGUGCGGGUAAGACAUAAAAGGAGACAUAAAUAAACGGUGUUAUGUAUCUUAUUCUUGGUAGAAAAUGAAAGCAAAAUUCUAAUCUGUCCAUACCCUCCAGGAAAAGACCACAAAAAACACACCUGCAGUUAUUAGUUUUGCACUGUGGGGUAUCUCAGUAAGAAAGCAUUAGGAAGGAUUUCUAGGAUUUAAGGGACUUGAGGGAGGGUUUAAGGAAGUAGGACUUUUCUCUGGAUUGGAUGCUGUCAGGAAGUAGGAGUAUUUCUAUGAGGGGAUAUGUUAACUAGAUGGAGGCUAAAGCUACAGUUGGUAAAGUAGCAACGGUCACUUAUAUUAUCUAAGAUAGAAGGACUUUCAUUAUUUUUGUGUUUUGGACAGUAUUUGUGUCUUUGUUAGUGUUCACAUGAUUACAAAAUGAUCUUGUUUUUGUUUUGAUCCCUCAUAUCCCAGUGACCUUGUCUGAUGUCCAUGUUCUGUGAAAUUUUUCAUGUUCAACAGAACACCAAGGCCAGCUCCUGGACGUCCGAGGAUGUUUUUCCCUUUCUCGAAUCUAUAAAUUAAAUGCAACUUUAAUCUUAAUUGCCAGUUUUGUAUGGGUUCGUUUUAUGAGAUUACUUGUCAAAAUCUAA
Hippopotamus amphibius kiboko is the source of this 4379-nucleotide RNA transcript. It is a transcript of the gene named adaptor related protein complex 5 subunit beta 1, with no coding region annotated. The transcript is spliced from 4 exons. The record is from RefSeq and is a predicted model, not a curated record. NCBI's taxonomy places the organism in Eukaryota, Metazoa, Chordata, Mammalia, Artiodactyla, Hippopotamidae.